This 1850-nucleotide ribosomal RNA is filed under the name Skvortzovia pinicola. Its description in RNAcentral is "eukaryotic LSU rRNA". The stretch from base 458 to 1850 matches the Rfam family "Eukaryotic large subunit ribosomal RNA", at positions 1 to 1399 of the family's 3401-position model. The record is from RNAcentral. Lineage: Eukaryota; Fungi; Basidiomycota; Agaricomycetes; Hymenochaetales.
CUCCUCCACUACAUCACAAACUCUUGACAGUACCUGGAACGUUGAGUCGCCUGAGACAUGGCACAACCUAAUACAACUUUCAACAACGGAUCUCUCGGCUCUCGCAUCGAUGAAGAACGCAGCGAAAUGCGAUAAGUAAUGUGAAUUGCAGAAUUCAGUGAAUCAUCGAAUCUUUGAACGCACCUUGCGCUCCUUGGUAUUCCGAGGAGCAUGCCUGUUUGAGUGUCUUGAAAUUCUCAACCUCGGGGGUGCUCUUGUUAGCGCCCGCCGGGGCUUGGAUGUGGGGACCUUGCCGGCCGUUGCAGGCCGACUUCCCUGAAAUGCAUUAGCUCGAGGUUGACUCGGAGCGGUUCACGGCGUGAUAAGUAAAUGAACAUUACGUCCUGGUAAAUCCCGCCUCYGCUGUCUUAUUGGCCUCGGCUUCCAGACGUCUUCGGACAAAAUCAAACUAUGAAUAUGGCCUCAAAUCAGGCAGGACUACCCGCUGAACUUAAGCAUAUCAAUAAGCGGAGGAAAAGAAACUAACAAGGAUUCCCCUAGUAACUGCGAGUGAAGCGGGAAAAGCUCAAAUUUAGAAUCUGGCGGCUUUGCCGUCCGAGUUGUAAUCUGGAGAAGUGCUUUCUGUGCCGGACCGUGUACAAGUCUCUUGGAACAGAGCGUCAUAGAGGGUGAGAAUCCCGUCUUUGACACGGACUGCCGGUGCUAUGUGAUGCGCUCUCGAAGAGUCGAGUUGUUUGGGAAUGCAGCUCAAAAUGGGUGGUGAAUUCCAUCUAAAGCUAAAUAUUGGCGAGAGACCGAUAGCGAACAAGUACCGUGAGGGAAAGAUGAAAAGCACUUUGGAAAGAGAGUUAAACAGUACGUGAAAUUGUUGAAAGGGAAACGCUUGAAGUCAGUCGCGUCGUCCGGAACUCAGCCUUGCUCUUGCUUGGUGUACUUUCCGGUUGACGGGCCAACAUCGAUUUUGGCUGGCGGAUAAAGGCAGUUGGAAUGUGGCACCCUCGGGUGUGUUAUAGCCUCCUGUUGAACACGCUGGCCGGGAUCGAGGACCGCAGCGCGCCUUUUGGCCGGGGCUUUGCCCACGUAACGCGCUUAGGAUGUUGGCGUAAUGGCUUUAAACGACCCGUCUUGAAACACGGACCAAGGAGUCUAACAUGCCCGCGAGUGUUAGGGUGGAAAACCCUUCCGCGUAAUGAAAGUGAAAGUUGGGACCUCUGUCAUGGAGGGCACCGACGCCCGGCCUUGAACUUCUGUGACGGUGCUGCGGUGGAGCGUGCAUGUUGGGACCCGAAAGAUGGUGAACUAUGCCUGAAUAGGGUGAAGCCAGAGGAAACUCUGGUGGAGGCUCGUAGCGAUUCUGACGUGCAAAUCGAUCGUCAAAUUUGGGUAUAGGGGCGAAAGACUAAUCGAACCAUCUAGUAGCUGGUUCCUGCCGAAGUUUCCCUCAGGAUAGCAGAAACUCGUAUCAGAUUUAUGUGGUAAAGCGAAUGAUUAGAGGCCUUGGGGUUGAAACAACCUUAACCUAUUCUCAAACUUUAAAUAUGUAAGAACAAGCCGUCUCUUAGUUGGACCGCUUGGCGAUUGAGAGUUUCUAGUGGGCCAUUUUUGGUAAGCAGAACUGGCGAUGCGGGAUGAACCGAACGCGAGGUUAAGGUGCCGGAAUACACGCUCAUCAGACACCACAAAAGGUGUUAGUUCAUCUAGACAGCAGGACAGUGGCCAUGGAAGUCUGAACCGCUAAUGAGUGUGUACCACUCACCUGCCGAAUGAACUAGCCCUGAAAAUGAUGGCGCUCAGCGUGUUACAUAGCUGCCGUAGCGUUGAGUGAACCCUACAAUAGAGGCGUGANGUCG